CCUACGGGUGGCUGCAGUCGAGAAUCAUUCACAAUGGGGGAAACCCUGAUGGUGCGACGCCGCGUGGGGGAAUGAAGGUCUUCGGAUUGUAAACCCCUUUCAUGUGGGAGCAAAUUAAGGAGAUAGUACCACAAGAGGAGGAGACGGCUAACUCUGUGCCAGCAGCCGCGGGAAUACAGAGGUCUGAAUCGUGGGUCGGAAUCACUGGGCGUAAAGCGUGCGGAGGCGGUUUCGUAAGGCGGGUGUGAAAGGCGCGGGCUCAACCCGCGGACGGCAGAUGAUACUGGGAGACUAGAGUAAUGGAGGGGGAAGCGGAAUUCUCGGUGUAGCAGUGAAAUGCGUAGAUAUCGAGAGGAACACUCGUGGCGAAGGCGGGUUCCUGGACACUAACUGACGCUGAGGCACGAAGGCCAGGGGAGCGAAAGGGAUUAGAUACCCUUGUAGUC
Molecule: ribosomal RNA, 446 nt
Filed under: uncultured bacterium
Lineage: Bacteria
Description: partial 16S ribosomal RNA
Rfam family: Bacterial small subunit ribosomal RNA
Source: RNAcentral